Molecule: microRNA, 26 nt
Filed under: Homo sapiens (human)
Lineage: Eukaryota; Metazoa; Chordata; Mammalia; Primates; Hominidae
Description: hsa-miR-1226-5p
Source: miRBase by way of RNAcentral
GUGAGGGCAUGCAGGCCUGGAUGGGG